CGAAUAUCUUUCGUUGGAAGUGAUUUCUGUCAAACAAGCAAUAACUAUGCUGGAAAACUGAAGUCUAAUUUCCUGGGAACCAAAUUCACCGUUUAUGAUAGUCAGCCUCCACACCCGAUGAUGCAAUCCAACUGUAAGGCAGGCAGAAAAAUCCAUUCAGUUCAGGUUUCUCCACUGGUACGUGCUAGAAACUACAAUGUGGCCACCAUUUCUUAUGAGCUCAAUGUCCUCCGAACCAGAGGCCCAAGGAGAAUGCAGUGCACCAUGCAUUCAAUUCCCUUCUCUUCAAUUGAAGUAGGGGGAACUGCCCCUACUCCAACAGAAUUCAUAAGUUCUAACGGCGAGCAAUCUACUCCAUCAUCGUCGUCCAUUUCAAAAUCAAAGGAGUCACUCAUUGAAUUCAGCGCAACUAGCCUUGCUGAAUCAAACGAAUCUAUUUGCAGCAGAAAAGAUCCCUUGAUUUUGAAAAAUAAAUCCCCAAGAUGGCAUGAGCAGCUUCAGUGCUGGUGUCUAAAUUUCAAAGGAC
This 526-nucleotide unclassified non-coding RNA is filed under the name Hevea brasiliensis (rubber tree). Lineage: Eukaryota; Viridiplantae; Streptophyta; Magnoliopsida; Malpighiales; Euphorbiaceae. The record is from RNAcentral.